RNAcentral lists this ribosomal RNA (164 nucleotides) under Sesbania goetzei. Its description in RNAcentral is "5.8S ribosomal RNA". It matches the Rfam family "5.8S ribosomal RNA". From Rfam's summary of the family: 5.8S ribosomal RNA (5.8S rRNA) is a component of the large subunit of the eukaryotic ribosome. It is transcribed by RNA polymerase I as part of the 45S precursor that also contains 18S and 28S rRNA. Functionally, it is thought that 5.8S rRNA may be involved in ribosome translocation. The record is from RNAcentral. Lineage: Eukaryota; Viridiplantae; Streptophyta; Magnoliopsida; Fabales; Fabaceae.
CACAAUGACUCUCGGCAACGGAUAUCUCGGCUCUUGCAUCGAUNAAAAACGUAGCGAAAUGCGAUACUUGGUGUGAAUUGCAAAAUCCCGUGAACCAUCGAGUCUUUGAACGCAAGUUGCGCCCGAAGCCAUUAGGCCGAGGGCACGCCUGCCUGGGUGUCACA